UACGUAGGGGGCAAGCGUUGUCCGGAUUUAUUGGGCGUAAAGAGCGUGUAGGCGGCCUGACAGGCCUGCUGUGAAAACUCGAGGCUCAACCUCGAGAUGUCGGCGGAAACCGUCUGGCUAGAGUCCGGAAGAGGAGAGUGGAAUUCCUGGUGUAGCGGUGAAAUGCGCAGAUAUCAGGAAGAACACCUAUGGCGAAGGCAGCUCUCUGGGACGGUACUGACGCUGAGACGCGAAAGCGUGGGGAGCGAACAGG
RNAcentral lists this ribosomal RNA (253 nucleotides) under uncultured bacterium. RNAcentral describes it as "partial 16S ribosomal RNA". It matches the Rfam family "Bacterial small subunit ribosomal RNA", at positions 524 to 776 of the family's 1533-position model. The record is from RNAcentral.